GGGUUGUGAGGUUAAGCGACUAAGCGUACACGGUGGAUGCCCUGGCAGUCAGAGGCGAUGAAGGACGUGCUAAUCUGCGAAAAGCGUCGGUAAGGUGAUAUGAACCGUUAUAACCGGCGAUGUCCGAAUGGGGAAACCCAGUGCAAUUCGUUGCACUAUCGUUAACUGAAUACAUAGGUUAACGAGGCGAACCGGGGGAACUGAAACAUCUAAGUACCCCGAGGAAAAGAAAUCAACCGAGAUUCCCCCAGUAGCGGCGAGCGAACGGGGAGCAGCCCAGAGUCUGAAUCAGCUUGUGUGUUAGUGGAACGGUCUGGAAAGUCCGACGGUACAGGGUGAUAGUCCCGUACACCAAAAUGCACAGGCUGUGAACUCGAAGAGUAGGGCGGGACACGUGGUAUCCUGUCUGAAUAUGGGGGGGCCAUCCUCCAAGGCUAAAUACUCCUGACUGACCGAUAGUGAACCAGUACCGUGAGGGAAAGGCGAAAAGAACCCCGGCGAGGGGAGUGAAAAAGAACCUGAAACCGUGUACGUACAAGCAGUGGGAGCACCUUCGGGUGUGACUGCGUACCUUUUGUAUAAUGGGUCAGCGACUUAUAUUCUGUAGCAAGGUUAACCGUAUAGGGGAGCCGCAGGGAAACCGAGUCUUAACUGGGCGUUAAGUUGCAGGGUAUAGACCCGAAACCCGGUGAUCUAGCCAUGGGCAGGUUGAAGGUUGGGUAACACUAACUGGAGGACCGAACCGACUAAUGUUGAAAAAUUAGCGGAUGACUUGUGGCUGGGGGUGAAAGGCCAAUCAAACCGGGAGAUAGCUGGUUCUCCCCGAAAGCUAUUUAGGUAGCGCCUCGUGAAUUCAUCUUCGGGGGUAGAGCACUGUUUCGGCUAGGGGGUCAUCCCGACUUACCAACCCGAUGCAAACUACGAAUACCGAAGAAUGUUAUCACGGGAGACACACGGCGGGUGCUAACGUCCGUCGUGAAGAGGGAAACAACCCAGACCGCCAGCUAAGGUCCCAAAGUCAUGGUUAAGUGGGAAACGAUGUGGGAAGGCACAGACAGCCAGGAUGUUGGCUUAGAAGCAGCCAUCAUUUAAAGAAAGCGUAAUAGCUCACUGGUCGAGUCGGCCUGCGCGGAAGAUGUAACGGGGCUAAACCAUGCACCGAAGCUGCGGCAGCGACACUAUGUGUUGUUGGGUAGGGGAGCGUUCUGUAAGCCUGCGAAGGUGACCUGUGAGGGUUGCUGGAGGUAUCAGAAGUGCGAAUGCUGACAUAAGUAACGAUAAAGCGGGUGAAAAGCCCGCUCGCCGGAAGACCAAGGGUUCCUGUCCAACGUUAAUCGGGGCAGGGUGAGUCGACCCCUAAGGCGAGGCCGAAAGGCGUAGUCGAUGGGAAACAGGUUAAUAUUCCUGUACUUGGUGUUACUGCGAAGGGGGGACGGAGAAGGCUAUGUUAGCCGGGCGACGGUUGUCCCGGUUUAAGCAUGUAGGCUGGUUGUCCAGGCAAAUCCGGAUAAUCAAGGCUGAGGUGUGAUGACGAGGCACUACGGUGCUGAAGUAACAAAUGCCCUGCUUCCAGGAAAAGCCUCUAAGCAUCAGGUAACAUCAAAUCGUACCCCAAACCGACACAGGUGGUCAGGUAGAGAAUACCAAGGCGCUUGAGAGAACUCGGGUGAAGGAACUAGGCAAAAUGGUGCCGUAACUUCGGGAGAAGGCACGCUGGUGUGUAGGUGAAGUCCCUGCGGAUGGAGCUGAGACCAGUCGAAGAUACCAGCUGGCUGCAACUGUUUAUUAAAAACACAGCACUGUGCAAACACGAAAGUGGACGUAUACGGUGUGACGCCUGCCCGGUGCCGGAAGGUUAAUUGAUGGGGUUAUCCGUAAGGAGAAGCUCUUGAUCGAAGCCCCGGUAAACGGCGGCCGUAACUAUAACGGUCCUAAGGUAGCGAAAUUCCUUGUCGGGUAAGUUCCGACCUGCACGAAUGGCGUAAUGAUGGCCAGGCUGUCUCCACCCGAGACUCAGUGAAAUUGAACUCGCUGUGAAGAUGCAGUGUACCCGCGGCAAGACGGAAAGACCCCGUGAACCUUUACUAUAGCUUGACACUGAACAUUGAGCCUUGAUGUGUAGGAUAGGUGGGAGGCUUUGAAGCGUGGACGCCAGUCUGCGUGGAGCCAACCUUGAAAUACCACCCUUUAAUGUUUGAUGUUCUAACGUUGGCCCCUGACCGGGGUUGCGGACAGUGUCUGGUGGGUAGUUUGACUGGGGCGGUCUCCUCCCAAAGCGUAACGGAGGAGCACGAAGGUUAGCUAAUCCUGGUCGGACAUCAGGAGGUUAGUGCAAUGGCAUAAGCUAGCUUGACUGCGAGCGUGACGGCGCGAGCAGGUGCGAAAGCAGGUCAUAGUGAUCCGGUGGUUCUGAAUGGAAGGGCCAUCGCUCAACGGAUAAAAGGUACUCCGGGGAUAACAGGCUGAUACCGCCCAAGAGUUCAUAUCGACGGCGGUGUUUGGCACCUCGAUGUCGGCUCAUCACAUCCUGGGGCUGAAGUAGGUCCCAAGGGUAUGGCUGUUCGCCAUUUAAAGUGGUACGCGAGCUGGGUUUAGAACGUCGUGAGACAGUUCGGUCCCUAUCUGCCGUGGGCGCUGGAGAAUUGAGGGGGGCUGCUUCUAGUACGAGAGGACCGGAGUGGACGCAUCACUGGUGUUCGGGUUGUCAUGCCAAUGGCACUGCCCGGUAGCUAAAUGCGGAAGAGAUAAGUGCUGAAAGCAUCUAAGCACGAAACUUGCCCCGAGAUGAGUUCUCCCUGAGACUUUAAGUCUCCUGAAGGAACGUUAAAGACGAUGACGUUGAUAGGCCGGGUGUGUAAGCGCAGCGAUGCGUUGAGCUAACCGGUACUAAUGAACCGUGAGGCUUAACCUUACAACGCCGAAG
This 2923-nucleotide ribosomal RNA is filed under the name Klebsiella pneumoniae. RNAcentral's name for it is "bacterial LSU rRNA". It matches the Rfam family "Bacterial large subunit ribosomal RNA". Lineage: Bacteria; Pseudomonadati; Pseudomonadota; Gammaproteobacteria; Enterobacterales; Enterobacteriaceae. The record is from RNAcentral.